UACGUAGGGUGCGAGCGUUAAUCGGAAUUACUGGGCGUAAAGCGUGCGCAGGCGGUUUUGUAAGCCAGAUGUGAAAUCCCCGGGCUCAACCUGGGAAUGGCAUUUGGGACUGCAAAGCUGGAGUGCGGCAGAGGGGACUGGAAUUCCUGGUGUAGCAGUGAAAUGCGUAGAGAUCAGGAGGAACACCGGUGGCGAAGGCGGGUCUCUGGGCCGAUACUGACGCUGAGGAGCGAAAGCGUGGGGAGCGAACAGG
Molecule: ribosomal RNA, 253 nt
Filed under: uncultured bacterium
Lineage: Bacteria
Description: partial 16S ribosomal RNA
Rfam family: Bacterial small subunit ribosomal RNA
Source: RNAcentral